Molecule: ribosomal RNA, 709 nt
Filed under: uncultured bacterium
Lineage: Bacteria
Description: bacterial SSU rRNA
Rfam family: Bacterial small subunit ribosomal RNA
Source: RNAcentral
UAACGCGUAGGCAACCUGCCCUUUAGACGGGGACAACAUUCCGAAAGGAGUGCUAAUACCGGAUGUGAUCAUCGUGCCGCAUGGCAGGAUGAAGAAAGAUGGCCUCUACAAGUAAGCUAUCGCUAAAGGAUGGGCCUGCGUCUGAUUAGCUAGUUGGUAGUGUAACGGACUACCAAGGCGAUGAUCAGUAGCCGGUCUGAGAGGAUGAACGGCCACAUUGGGACUGAGACACGGCCCAAACUCCUACGGGAGGCAGCAGUGGGGAAUCUUCCGCAAUGGACGAAAGUCUGACGGAGCAACGCCGCGUGAGUGAUGAAGGAUUUCGGUCUGUAAAGCUCUGUUGUUUAUGACGAACGUGCAGUGUGUGAACAAUGCAUUGCAAUGACGGUAGUAAACGAGGAAGCCACGGCUAACUACGUGCCAGCAGCCGCGGUAAUACGUAGGUGGCGAGCGUUGUCCGGAAUUAUUGGGCGUAAAGAGCAUGUAGGCGGCUUAAUAAGUCGAGCGUGAAAAUGCGGGGCUCAACCCCGUAUGGCGCUGGAAACUGUUAGGCUUGAGUGCAGGAGAGGAAAGGGGAAUUCCCAGUGUAGCGGUGAAAUGCGUAGAUAUUGGGAGGAACACCAGUGGCGAAGGCGCCUUUUCUGGACUGUGUCUGACGCUGAGAUGCGAAAGCCAGGGUAGCGAACGGGAUUAGAUACCCCGGUAGUCC